UGCCACUCUUAACGGGGUGGCUUUUCAGAAGUGUAAAAAGCUUCUGGAAUAAGGGCUGGGCAAGACCGGUGCCAGCCGCCGCGGUAACACCGGCAGCUCGAGUGGUAGCCGCUUUUAUUGGGCCUAAAGCGUCCGUAGCCGGUCUGAUAAGUCUCUGGUGAAAUCCCACAGCUUAACUGUGGGAAUUGCUGGAGAUACUAUCAUGACUCGAGGUCGGGAGAGGCUGGAGGUACUCCCAGGGUAGGGGUGAAAUCCUGUAAUCCUGGGAGGACCACCUGUGGCGAAGGCGUCCAGCUGGAACGAACCUGACGGUGAGGGACGAAAGCCAGGGGCGCGAACCGGAUUAGAUACCCGGGUAGUCCUGGCCGUAAACGAUGUGGACUUGGUGUUGAGAUGGCUUCGAGCUGCCCCAGUGCCGAAGGGAAGCUGUUAAGUCCACCGCCUGGGAAGUACGGCCGCA
This 460-nucleotide ribosomal RNA is filed under the name uncultured archaeon. Its description in RNAcentral is "bacterial SSU rRNA". It matches the Rfam family "Archaeal small subunit ribosomal RNA", at positions 385 to 845 of the family's 1478-position model. The record is from RNAcentral.